UGGGGUAUAGCCAAGCGGUAAGGCAAGGGACUUUGACUCCCUCAUGCUUGGUUCGAAUCCAGCUACCCCAG
This 71-nucleotide transfer RNA is filed under the name Streptococcus agalactiae. RNAcentral's name for it is "tRNA-Gln". It matches the Rfam family "tRNA". From Rfam's summary of the family: Transfer RNA (tRNA) molecules are approximately 80 nucleotides in length. Their secondary structure includes four short double-helical elements and three loops (D, anti-codon, and T loops). The record is from RNAcentral. Lineage: Bacteria; Bacillati; Bacillota; Bacilli; Lactobacillales; Streptococcaceae. RNAcentral also lists the same sequence under 1 other name.